This 270-nucleotide unclassified non-coding RNA is filed under the name Hevea brasiliensis (rubber tree). Lineage: Eukaryota; Viridiplantae; Streptophyta; Magnoliopsida; Malpighiales; Euphorbiaceae. The record is from RNAcentral.
AAAGAUUUUAAAAGAUGAGUUCUUGCCAAACUUAGAAAUCAAAUCAAGUACUUAGAUAGUGUCACCAAUCAUACGAGCCUGGCCAAGGCCUUCAAUAGCGAUGAAAAUGUCUUCACCUGGGGCAGAGCCAAAUGACAGGGGCAUUUCGUUGAGUAGUUGCUUAAAGACGUCAAAACGAUGGAAAUUACAGAGCUUGUGAAUCAGAGCUCCGUAGGUAGAGUUGGAAUGGGUGAAGUUGAGGAGGUUUGAGGCCCAUUUGAAGGUUUGGAG